RNAcentral lists this ribosomal RNA (434 nucleotides) under uncultured Lachnospiraceae bacterium. RNAcentral describes it as "partial 16S ribosomal RNA". It matches the Rfam family "Bacterial small subunit ribosomal RNA", at positions 341 to 792 of the family's 1533-position model. The record is from RNAcentral. Lineage: Bacteria; Bacillati; Bacillota; Clostridia; Lachnospirales; Lachnospiraceae.
ACGGAAGGCAGCAGUGGGGAAUAUUGGACAAUGGGGGAAACCCUGAUCCAGCGACGCCGCGUGAGUGAGGAAGUAUUUCGGUAUGUAAAGCUCUAUCAGCAAGGAAGAAAAUGACGGUACUUGACUAAGAAGCCCCGGCUAACUACGUGCCAGCAGCCGCGGUAAUAUGUAGGGGGCAAGCGUUAUCCGGAUUUACUGGGUGUAAAGGGAGCGUAGACGGCAUAGCAAGUCUGAAGUGAAAUGCAUGGGCUCAACCCAUGAACUGCUUUGGAAACUGUUAAGCUAGAGUGCAGGAGAGGUAAGUGGAAUUCCUAGUGUAGCGGUGAAAUGCGUAGAUAUUAGGAGGAACACCAGUGGCGAAGGCGGCUUACUGGACUGUAACUGACGUUGAGGCUCGAAAGCGUGGGGAGCAAACAGGAUUAGAUACCCUGGUA